GAGAGACAGUGAGAUGGAGAGAAAUAGAGAGGGCGAGAGAGAGAGGAGAGAGGAGAGGCGAGAGAAAGAAAGAAUAAUUUAAUAUAGUUGCUAUAGACUAAUAGUGUAAUUUACAUACGUUAUGUUACCUUGAGUUUGUAUCUUAUGUACAGUGGAGUAUAUAUCACAUAAGUAAGAUAUAUUAUAAGGAAUUCUUGAUAUUAAUAGAUUUCUAGCAAGUUCCGUCAUUCCCAAGUCACUUGUCAGUUUCACAAGUACUUGCGCAGUUACUUGUAGUUUUAAGUGAUUUUAGGGAAUUUUAGUCUAGUAUAACUUUGUAUUUUGUCUUAAUGCAUUGCAGAAACUCACGACGAUAGAAAGGUAGUAAAGAAAUAGACUAGAAUAGUAGUAGUAGUUAUAGAAGUAGUUUAGAAUAACGUUUUAUUUGUAUAUCCAUUGUACAACAUUCAUAUUACUGUUAAAAAUAAAAGAUUUAAUAUGAAAAAUA
Molecule: long non-coding RNA, 487 nt
Organism: Priapulus caudatus
Lineage: Eukaryota; Metazoa; Priapulida; Priapulimorpha; Priapulimorphida; Priapulidae
Exons: 2
Source: RefSeq, a predicted model, not a curated record